Molecule: transfer RNA, 71 nt
Filed under: Eupatorus gracilicornis
Lineage: Eukaryota; Metazoa; Arthropoda; Insecta; Coleoptera; Scarabaeidae
Description: tRNA-Lys
Source: RNAcentral
CAUUAGAUGACUGAAAGUAAGUAAUGGUCUCUUAAACCAAUAAAUAGUAGGUUAACGACUACUUCUAAUGA